This 301-nucleotide ribosomal RNA is filed under the name uncultured bacterium. RNAcentral's name for it is "partial 16S ribosomal RNA". It matches the Rfam family "Bacterial small subunit ribosomal RNA", at positions 509 to 808 of the family's 1533-position model. The record is from RNAcentral.
CAGUCGCCGCGGGAAUACGAAGGGGGCUAGCGUUGUUCGGAAUUACUGGGCGUAAAGCGCACGUAGGCGGACAUUUAAGUCAGGGGUGAAAUCCCGGGGCUCAACCCCGGAACUGCCUUUGAUACUGGGUGUCUAGAGUAUGGAAGAGGUGAGUGGAAUUCCGAGUUUAGAGGUGAAAUUCGUAGAUAUUCGGAGGAACACCAGUGGCGAAGGCGGCUCACUGGUCCAUUACUGACGCUGAGGUGCGAAAGCGUGGGGAGCAAACAGGAUUAGAUACCCCCGUAGUCCCUGUCUCUAUACA